This 723-nucleotide long non-coding RNA is filed under the name Nicotiana benthamiana. Its description in RNAcentral is "long non-coding RNA (NBEN_LNC040872)". Lineage: Eukaryota; Viridiplantae; Streptophyta; Magnoliopsida; Solanales; Solanaceae. The record is from RNAcentral.
AACAUUUGUGUUAGAUGCCAUAUUCAAAUGAUGAAUUAAAACAAGUAUAUUGAAACUGAAACUGAAGGCCCCACAAAUAUCACCAAAUAUCAGUAUUCACAAUCGAAACAAAUUUUUCACAAAUAGAAUCAAACAAUCGCACAUAACCAAAUAAUAGGAACAGUGUUACCGUCCUUCUUCGCAACCGGAGAAGAUCGGCCUUUUAACAACAGAUAAAACCCUAGGUAUGGGCCCUAGGAACAACCGUCAAAAUUUUGCCGGAGAUACCGUCAAGGAUGUCGGAGCAGUAACAAUAACACCCAAAACACCCGCAAAAAUGAGUAUCAAACCACCGGAUAGCAGUCAAACGACCGAUUUGACCACCAGAAACCCUAGAAGUUGAAAAACUCACCGAAAAAUCUCCAAAAAUUCUACAACAAUCGAUUGAACCGUUCAAGAGAAGAGGACGGUCAUAGAUCGUGAAGAUAAAGGCUCGAAACAGGCCCAAUCGGAGUCAAAACCAUCACUGACCUUUCGAUCUCAGAAAACCCCAAAAAUUUCAUCAGAGAACAGUUCAAAUGAACUACUGAUUCACAUAAAAGUAUCAUCGGAUCAUUAUGUAGGCUCUGAUACCAUGAAAACAUGCAAGAAAUCAUAGAAAUUUAGAGAGAGAAAGUAGAGAGAAGGAGGAGAGUUUCGGAAGACUCUCGAAGAAGAGAGAAGAUAUUAUUUCAUCAAAUGACC